This is a non-coding RNA of Schistosoma curassoni, 46 nucleotides long. NCBI's taxonomy places the organism in Eukaryota, Metazoa, Platyhelminthes, Trematoda, Strigeidida, Schistosomatidae. The record is from Rfam.
GCACUAAUGUGGAGUCCCACAAUAGGACGAAACGGCCGUUCAGUGC